Molecule: long non-coding RNA, 634 nt
Organism: Trifolium pratense (red clover)
Lineage: Eukaryota; Viridiplantae; Streptophyta; Magnoliopsida; Fabales; Fabaceae
Exons: 4
Source: RefSeq, a predicted model, not a curated record
UUUUGGCCACUGUAGAUUGCAAUGGAGUAUGCCACGUCGGAUGAUUGUUGGUGGGCCAUGGUGUGUGGUUUUUGCGUGGGAUAAUUUCUUUGUUUUAUUUUUAUUUUUUUUGCGUUCUGUGUCUAGAAGAAGCUCUGCGAGACUGCAUAUGCUAGGGUUGUGAUUCAGAAAAUUCAUUGAAUCUGGUCGAAUUCCAUCCUUGUGUUAUUGAGAGGUUCAUCUGGGGUGGGUUGAUCUAGUGGAGUGGCCUAUAAAUUGGGGAUGGGGAAGACUUGCGAUGCACAGGUUGAGAACAACAUGGUGUUGUUUGGUUUGACGUGAUGGUGUAUAACGAUAAACAUGGAGAAGGUUGCAGCUCAGGCAACUUUAGUGGAUUACUGGCUGUGAUGCAAUGGGAAAAAUGCACAUGGGAUUUUGGAGGUGUUUGCUAUUUCUUUAUUUAUUCCUGAUCUUUAAGGCUGAGAAAGCAAGUACAAAAUGUUGUCAAAAUUGCCUUGGUGAUCUUUGCUGAUGCUUGCACUUUUUUUGGUUAUUAACUGGGAUGGGAUGAACUUAUGGCUCUUGAUUAUCUGGUUGUUGAUGAAGUAGCAUUUUUAGAUAGGACAUAUGUAUUGAAGUACCUAAGAGAGGAUAC